This 460-nucleotide ribosomal RNA is filed under the name uncultured bacterium. RNAcentral describes it as "partial 16S ribosomal RNA". It matches the Rfam family "Bacterial small subunit ribosomal RNA", at positions 338 to 795 of the family's 1533-position model. The record is from RNAcentral.
CCUACGGGAGGCAGCAGUGAGGAAUAUUGGUCAAUGGACGAGAGUCUGAACCAGCCAAGUAGCGUGAAGGAUGACUGCCCUCUGGGUUGUAAACUUCUUUUAUAUGGGAAUAAAAUGUUUCACGUGUGGGAUUUUGUAUGUACCAUAUGAUUAAGGAUCGGCUAACUCCGUUCCAGCAGCCGCGGUAAUACGGUGGAUCCGAUCGUUAUCCGGAUUUAUUGGGUUUAAAGGGAGCGUAGGUGGAUUGUUAAGUCAGUUGUGAAAGUUUGCGGCUCAACCGUAAAAUGGCAGUUAAAACUGGAAGACUUGAGUGCAGUAGAGGUGGGCGGAAUUCGUGGUGUAGCAGUGAAAUGCUUAGAUAUCACGAAGAACUCCGAUUGCGAAGGCAGCUCACUGGGCUGCAACUGACGCUGAGACUCGAAAGUGUGGGGAUCAAACAGGAUUAGAUACCCGUGUAGUC